GCCAAUAUUCAUGCACUUGAAAAACCUCGGACAGUGAAGAACAUGGGAGUGCAUGGGUACAUUCUUUAUUCUUGAUAUAAUGGUUUCAAGCCUUUUGAUGGAAGCUCAUGUAUCUUCCUAGGCUGAUGGACUCUGGUGCUUGAUGAAUGUUGCCCAGCCCUAGACCUCUCUUAAGUUUUGCAUAAAUACAUCAUCUGGGCUAAUCAAUUUAUAUGAAAACAAAUCAGUAGUGAUUUCGUCAAAUAUAUGGGUUAUUUUGAUGACAGUUAGCUCCUCUCCCUAGCUGAUCAAAUCAACUAUUUUAAUCUCAUUGAACAACUAGAUGAAUUGAGGUGCUAAUUAAAUUAAUAUGCGCCCACCAGUUUAUUAGGUACUAAUUGAAUUAAUAUGCUCUCACAGGUUUAUUAGAGGAUAACUAAAACGAACAUUCUUUGGCUGACAUUUGAUGUAAGAUUUAAAACAACCUACAGAACAAACUGGAGAGGGUACACAUCAGAUGGCUCCCUCCCAUGGAGAAUGAACUGAAGAUUAAUAUUGAUGGCGCUUUCCACCCUGAACCAAACACCGGUGGUUGGGGUGCAGUCAUCAGGAAUCAUAAAGGAGAGGUAAAAGUAUGUGGACUAGGGAGAUUGGAGAAUGUUAUUAACCCCUUACAUGCCGAGAUCAGGCUGUUAUACAGGGUGCCUAGCUAGGAAUUGAUAAAGGAGUGAGAGCCAUUGGCCUUGAAACAGAUUCAGUGCUGCUGAAGCAAGGGGUAAACAAUAAUGAAUGUGGCCUCUCUGCUGUCUACCUAGGCUUAGAGGAGCUCAAGGAAUAUCUGAAGCAAAAAACUUUGAAGUGUGUCGUUUUACUUCUGCUAGGAGGAACUGUAAAUAAGUAGGCCAUUGUUUUGCUAGCUAUGGUAGUACCUUAAGCAUGUAUGAUCAUCUUCAAACAGAUCAUGUAAUUCCACUUGUAUCGGACCUGGUGGCGACUCUUCUCUAAUUUCUGCAUACAUCUCCCCUA
Non-coding RNA from Triticum urartu, 1005 nucleotides. Lineage: Eukaryota; Viridiplantae; Streptophyta; Magnoliopsida; Poales; Poaceae. The record is from RefSeq and is a predicted model, not a curated record.